AUGAUGAUACAGACUGAUAACUCCAGAACCUUCCCUCCUCUCUGCCACCAGCAAGGCUCAAUGAAACAGAAGAAAGCAACCAGCAGGUCUGAUGAGGAGAGGACCUCAGGAACAGGAGAUGGACCCCAGACUAUAACCAAGAACUCCUAUAUCAACUCACAGAAUGGCCUGGGUUGCCAGAUGUUUUGUGAUGGUGCCUCCUGUUGGCUGAACCCAGAAGGUGCAAGAGCCUUGAAGAUGAAAUUCAUCAUUGGUCUCCUGAGAGUAGAUUUUGAGGAACAAAUGGAAGAUAUCUGGCCCAUGUGUGUUUGCAGAUGAUAUCAUGGAACUAAUGUUCUGAAGAACACACUUUGAAAAAUACUUGUCAAGUCUAAUCCUCCUUUUUGACAACAAAAUUUGAGGUGAGCAGAAGACAAAGAAGUUUCUUUAAGGUUCCAGGUUGUCGAAGCAGUAGGACCAAUUUGCAGGUCUGGAACUCAGAAAUUUGUGGUUCACUGCUAUUUGCACCACCUCACAUUCCGUGAGUAGCUUCCCUUCACAAUAACAUAGCACUAAUUUAUGCUCUGUGACUAUCUAAACUUUUUUGGAUGCUGUUUUUAUUUGUGCUUUAUGCUGUCUCUUGAGAUAACAAUUACAUACUAUUACUAUUUUCUGUGUAAAAAAACCAUUUUAUUUCCUUUCCCUUAAAAUGAUCUCAUUUGAGGUUUAAGAAAAGAUAUUUGAAGUUCUUAUAUUAGAUUUGGUGAACAAGCCUAUUUUCUUUGGUCUUCACUUCUUCAUAGUCUCUGUCUUUUCAACACGAAAGCACAUGUAACAAAGGUUUAGGAGACUCUGAUCUAGUCUGAGUUCUGCAAAUGAAAAGCAGAUUGAUCAUAAGAAAGUUGCAUUUUUGGCUUUCAAUUACUUGAUCUGAAAAAUUACAGAGGCAGGACCUGAAAAUAGCAGAGAAUAUGCUCAGAUGCUUUCUAAGAAUAUGUGGUUUAGGCUUAUUUCUUAGAUUACAUAUAAUAUUCUCAAUGUAGUUGUUCCUUUUCUUUACAAAACAGCAGCAUAGUGG
RNAcentral lists this long non-coding RNA (1057 nucleotides) under Oryctolagus cuniculus (rabbit). RNAcentral describes it as "lncRNA (ENSOCUG00000031690.1)". Lineage: Eukaryota; Metazoa; Chordata; Mammalia; Lagomorpha; Leporidae. The record is from RNAcentral.